This is a long non-coding RNA of Mytilus trossulus (common blue mussel), 221 nucleotides long. RefSeq lists it as uncharacterized. The transcript is spliced from 2 exons. The record is from RefSeq and is a predicted model, not a curated record. NCBI's taxonomy places the organism in Eukaryota, Metazoa, Mollusca, Bivalvia, Mytilida, Mytilidae.
GGUAUUACACCUAUUUAGGGAAACCAUAUGUGCACUCGUGACCUUUUUGUACUUUCAUUUUUAAAAGUUAUAAAUAAACCAGUUCAUACAUUGUAAACAUGGACAAUUCGGAAUGGAUUUAGACACAGAAAGCACGUUUGAGUGUUAACCAUGUUCUGAAGAGCAUUCUGUUGAAAAAUCUUAUAUGUGAAUUGGUCUGCAGAUGACACUUCAACAUUAAA